This 459-nucleotide ribosomal RNA is filed under the name uncultured bacterium. RNAcentral's name for it is "partial 16S ribosomal RNA". It matches the Rfam family "Bacterial small subunit ribosomal RNA", at positions 338 to 795 of the family's 1533-position model. The record is from RNAcentral.
CCUACGGGUGGCAGCAGUGAGGAAUAUUGGUCAAUGGCCGGAAGGCUGAACCAGCCAUGCCGCGUGAAGGUCAGUGCCCUAUGGGCGUUAAACUUCUUUUGUGCGGGAGCAAUAAUGGUCACGUGUGGCCAGACGAGAGUACCGUACGAAUAAGCAUCGGCUAACUCCGUGCCAGCAGCCGCGGUAAUACGGAGGAUCCGAGCGUUAUCCGGAUUUAUUGGGUUUAAAGGGAGCGUAGAUGGGUUGUUAAGUCAGUUGUGAAAGUUUGCGGCUCAACCGUAAAAUUGCAAUUGAUACUGGCAGACUUGAGUUGGCGAGAAGUACGCGGAAUGCGCGGUGUAGCGGUGAAAUGCAUAGAUAUCGCGCAGAACUCCGAUUGCGAAGGCAGCGUACCGGCGCCAGACUGACGCUGAGGCACGAAAGCGUGGGGAUCGAACAGGAUUAGAUACCCUUGUAGUC